AAGGAACGCUAAUACCGCAUACGUCCUACGGGAGAAAGUGGGGGAUCUUCGGACCUCACGCUAUCAGAUGAGCCUAGGUCGGAUUAGUUAGUUGGUGAGGUAAAGGCUCACCAAGGCGACGAUCCGUAACUGGUCUGAGAGGAUGAUCAGUCACACUGGAACUGAGACACGGUCCAGACUCCUACGGGAGGCAGCAGUGGGGAAUAUUGGACAAUGGGCGAAAGCCUGAUCCAGCCAUGCCGCGUGUGUGAAGAAGGUCUUCGGAUUGUAAAGCACUUUAAGUUGGGAGGAAGGGCAUUAAGUUAAUACCUUGCUGUUUUGACGUUACCGACGGAGUAAGCACCGGCUAACUUCGUGCCAGCAGCCGCGGUAAUACGAAGGGUGCAAGCGUUAAUCGGAAUUACUGGGCGUAAAGCGCGCGUAGGUGGUUCGUUAAGUUGGAUGUGAAAAGCCCCGGGCUCAACCUGGG
This 469-nucleotide ribosomal RNA is filed under the name Pseudomonas sp. RNAcentral's name for it is "bacterial SSU rRNA". It matches the Rfam family "Bacterial small subunit ribosomal RNA", at positions 155 to 618 of the family's 1533-position model. Lineage: Bacteria; Pseudomonadati; Pseudomonadota; Gammaproteobacteria; Pseudomonadales; Pseudomonadaceae. The record is from RNAcentral.